CCAAUAGCGUAUAUUAAAGUUGUUGCAGUUAAAAAGCUCGUAGUUGAAUUUUGGGUCUGGCCGGGCGGUCCGCCCUCUGGGUGAGCACUGUUCCGACGUCGGGCCUAUCCUUCUGGUGAGUCGGCAUGUCCUUUAUUGGGUGUGUCGGGGAACCAGGACCAUUACCUUGAAAAAAUUAGAGUGUUCAAAGCAGGCGUAUGCUCGGAUACAUUAGCAUGGAAUAAUGAAAUAGGACGCGUGGUGCUAUUUUGUUGGUUUCUAGAACCGCCGUAAUGAUUAAUAGGGAUAGUUGGGGGCAUUAGUAUUCAAUCGUCAGAGGUGAAAUUCUUGGAUUUAUUGAAGACUAACUUCUGCGAAAGCAUUUGCCAAGGAUGUUUUCAUUAAUCAAGAACGAAAGUUAGGGGAUCGAAGACGAUCAGAUACCGUCGUAGUCUUAACCAUAAACUAUGCCGACUAGGAAUCGGGCGAUGUUAUUCUCAUGACUCGCCCGGCGCCUUAUG
Molecule: ribosomal RNA, 500 nt
Filed under: uncultured Glomeromycotina
Lineage: Eukaryota; Fungi; Glomeromycota
Description: partial small subunit ribosomal RNA
Rfam family: Eukaryotic small subunit ribosomal RNA
Source: RNAcentral